UACGGGGGGGGCAAGCGUUGUUCGGAAUUACUGGGCGUAAAGGGCUCGUAGGCGGCCAACUAAGUCGGACGUGAAAUCCCCAGGCUCAACUUGGGAACUGCGUCCGAUACUGGAUGGCUUGAAUCCGGGAGAGGGAUGUGGAAUUCCAGGUGUAGCGGUGAAAUGCGUAGAUAUCUGGAGGAACACCGGUGGCGAAGGCGGCAUCCUGGACCGGUAUUGACGCUGAGGCGCGAAAGCCAGGGGAGCAAACGGG
RNAcentral lists this ribosomal RNA (253 nucleotides) under uncultured bacterium. Its description in RNAcentral is "partial 16S ribosomal RNA". It matches the Rfam family "Bacterial small subunit ribosomal RNA", at positions 524 to 776 of the family's 1533-position model. The record is from RNAcentral.